GAUGAACGCUGGCGGCGUGCCUAAUACAUGCAAGUCGAGCGAACAGAUGAGGAGCUUGCUCCUCUGACGUUAGCGGCGGACGGGUGAGUAACACGUGGAUAACCUACCUAUAAGACUGGGAUAACUUCGGGAAACCGGAGCUAAUACCGGAUAAUAUAUUGAACCGCAUGGUUCAAUAGUGAAAGACGGUUUUGCUGUCACUUAUAGAUGGAUCCGCGCCGCAUUAGCUAGUUGGUAAGGUAACGGCUUACCAAGGCAACGAUGCGUAGCCGACCUGAGAGCGUGGUCGGACAGACUGGAACUGAGACACGGUCCAGACUCCUACGGGAGGCAGCAGUAGGGAAUCUUCCGCAAUGGGCGAAAGCCUGACGGAGCAACGCCGCGUGAGUGAUGAAGGUCUUCGGAUCGUAAAACUCUGUUAUUAGGGAAGAACAAAUGUGUAAGUAACUAUGCACGUCUUGACGGUACCUAAUCAGAAAGCCACGGCUAACUACGUG
Molecule: ribosomal RNA, 497 nt
Filed under: uncultured bacterium
Lineage: Bacteria
Description: partial 16S ribosomal RNA
Rfam family: Bacterial small subunit ribosomal RNA
Source: RNAcentral